This is a long non-coding RNA of Eurytemora carolleeae, 1808 nucleotides long. RefSeq lists it as uncharacterized. The record is from RefSeq and is a predicted model, not a curated record. Lineage: Eukaryota; Metazoa; Arthropoda; Copepoda; Calanoida; Temoridae. The transcript has 3 exons.
CAGGGAUCACUCAGCUUCCUACCAUCCUCACCAAGCAGAUUAGCUUCAUCAAUCUCUGCUCCCCGGCCUCGUUCUACAGAUCCAGGCACAUGACGAGCAGCCUCAAGAAGAUCACGUCCUCCCAACUCUCCCAUAGCCUCGAGAAUCCUUCAUCUUCAUCCUCCACCAUCUCCAGCAGCCUCGAGGAAAUCCAAUACGCAGUCUCAAUCCUCCUCUUCUCGUCCUAGCAGCAUGCCACCUUCGGCAAAAUAUUUUAAUCCUUCGGCACCGGAACCUCGAACCUCAGCCUCAUCCAAACCUUCGAGGACCAGUUCUCCAUCCUCGUCACAAGCCUCCUCAGUUCCUAGUACACCUCGGUCCUCGACCUCCAGUCUAGUCCAACAUAUUGAUAUUAAGGAUCACAGGGGACGUCCUACUACUCUGGAUCAUCUACGUCCUCAUAGUGACGUAGCAGGCUCUCUGGAGGACGUGAGAGGUCAGAGAAAGGAUCGUAGCUCAAGUCCCAAACAUAGUCCGAGAAUGUUUCGCAAGCUGCAUAUUGUGAAAUCAGGAAUCAGUUUUGUUCAUAAUCUUAAAUUAGGGGAGUAGAACAAUAUUUUGCUGUACACUGUAUAGAGUAGGUUUUCUGUACACUGUACAGUGUACAGAAGAAUUAAGCAGUUUGCACUUAUUAAAGCGUGCGUUUUCAAUCAUUAUACAACUUAUUUAUAUAGAAUACCAGUACACGUCUUUAAAACAUGUGCACAAUUCCGCAUCAUUCCUUCAGAGGAUUGAAUUUUACACUUUAGUGAAAGUGAUAAAUAUAUCGUAUUUAGUUAGUGAUUAGAAGGGUAUUAGUAAUGUAUUUAUCAAAUUAAUUAUAAAUUCGUCAUUUUAAAGUUGAUUUUACCCAGUUUUAAGGGGAGUUAGCGUAAAUGGAAGUGACCCUCUAGGCAAAUAUGGCAAUGUCCGAUUUACAACAGGUACCGUUGAGAAUUUGGAAUUAACAUCUUUGCUUGAUAAUCAUGUUGCAUUUCAAGUAUAUUUACGGUUAUUAUCUCAGAGUUAACAUUUCUAUAUAAAUUAGCAUUUAGUACAGUGUCCACAGAAUAAGGUUGAUUCAAAUGACUGAUAACCAAUUUAAAGUUCAUCAAUUGUUUUUUCUAUAUUUCUUUAUAGCCAUUAAAAUCAAUUCACACAAAGGACUAACUCAGUGCUCACACUGCAUUCUGUGCGCAAUUCUACUGCUUACUAAGUUUGUUCAAAUUAUACUUUUGGUAGAUUUUUUAACUUUAAUUUUUAGACCACAGUGUCUUUACUUGAUUCCUCAUUUUUAAGAAUUUGAUUAGAAAAUGUACUAGUCAGGUAUCCCAUACUCAAUAGACGCGCAUUAAAUCUUUUCUUUUUAACGUUUUUUAUUGUUUUUUAAUCUUUUCUUUUUCAUAAUUUAUGAUAUUUUUUUUUAAUGUGUGAAAACUUUUUGGACCAUGACGAACAAAAAAUGUCCUUUAAAUAUUUGUUUUUGCCGCCUUUGACGUUAUCAAAUCUAAACCUCAUGGUUCCAUGAUAAAUUUUAACCCUUAUCAAAUUAGCAUUUUAGCAGUAUCAUAUCUGCAAAUCAUACAUAUUUUUAAAAAUUGUUAAAAAGUUAUUAACUGUAAAGUUUUGCAAAAAUAUGUAAUCGUUUAUUCAUAAGAUUUUACUACCUGGGCAAUUAUUAAUUAGUGAUAAAUGAUUGCGGAUUUUAUAUAUUUCAAUUCAAUUCUAAGAUUUUACCAUUGUUAAUAUUGAUACCCUAGAUUUUAUCUUCUAGAAUCUUAUUUAUGUUA